UGGCUGUGCUAGAGAGGGCAAUCCAGUC
Molecule: non-coding RNA, 28 nt
Filed under: Rattus norvegicus (Norway rat)
Lineage: Eukaryota; Metazoa; Chordata; Mammalia; Rodentia; Muridae
Source: RNAcentral